This is a non-coding RNA of Heterocephalus glaber (naked mole-rat), 3790 nucleotides long. The record is from RefSeq and is a predicted model, not a curated record. NCBI's taxonomy places the organism in Eukaryota, Metazoa, Chordata, Mammalia, Rodentia, Bathyergidae.
AAAGGACCUAGAAAUCACCUCUAAAAGGAGACUCCAGCACUCCAGAAUCCAGUAACAAUGUGGCCAUGGAACAGUUCUGUUAUGUAAGAUUGUUCAGUACAUGCACAACAUCUAGAAUUCCUGUAUGACAUGACCAGCCUUUUUUCUGCUGUGACCUCUGCCAUGCUGUACUUGCCUUGGAGCCAACCAAUCAUGGUCUACAAACAUUGAAAAGUUAUGGUGCAUCUACUGUAAAAGAAAAAUUGUAAACAACUAGAGCAAAGAGGAGAUCAAAAAUUGUGAACAAAAUUCCUUGAAAAUAAAAGCACAUGGGACAAAAAUUGAGAAAAAGCCUCAAACACACACCCUGCUGCAACCAGUAUCUCCACCACCAUACCACGACCAGCAACUUCAGAGGUUGUGUCAGUUAUGUUGUUCUACCAGCAAAAAAGCUUACCCAUACAAGAUUUAUUAUAUCAAACCAGAAGUCUUGCAACAAGAUUCACCAUGACCAUCAGAAAUGUGCUGAUGAGAGGCACCAUCAACACUCAAAAGGGUCCCAGCCUGAAAGUCACAGUACCCUCAGUGAACGUUUGCCAGACACAACGAGGACUUCUUUCCUGAAGCACCUGUGUGUGCUUCUCGACCCAGGCGUGCUGCAGGCCAGAAGUGCCAGACUAUGAGCAGCUGUAAGAGUGAUGGUCAUCCACUGAGAGCAGAAUUGGUAGAUAAGUAUGCCUGCUUCCUUGCUCCUUGUUGGCUCAUUUCUGAGGUGUGUCCUACAGAGUCUCCCAGAGAGUUCCCAGGGGACUGAGGCCCCACAGUGAUGAAAGCAUCAAUACACCCUUUAUCAGCUCUUCUUCUCUGUCUACUUCUUCAGACCUUCACUAUUAUUCCUGGGAUCACCUUCCAUAGGAGCUUAGAUAUACAAGAUGACCAAGAAAUAUGGUAAUUGUUUAAAUAUGAUAUAUUACAGUAAAAGAUAUAUUGCUGUCAACCACCUUCAAAAUACUCCCCCUGGCUUCAAACACACUUAUUCCGUAGGUAUUGCUACUUUCUGAAGCAGUUUUGAGAGUCCUCUUUCAUGUCUUUAUGAGAUGUGAUCAAGAAUAUGGUGAAUGCUGUGUUCCAUUGAAAAGAAAGGCAGGCUUGUAAAAACAUUACGGUGGUGUCCUCAUUCACUUAAAUCACUGGAUCUGGUAUUGUGUGCAACUUCUGGUUCUUCCCCAAGUCAUGAUCAUGAAAGGUCAAGGUUUUGAGUCAAUUCAGGACACAGAGGCAGCUAAAGAUGCAAAACAAGACUCCCAGAAUUGCUUCAGGAAGUAGUAAGAACAAUUGGAUAACAAUUUUUGAGUAUUUUGAGAGGGAUCAAUGGCAAUAUGUCUUUUAUUAUAAUACAUUUUAAAAAAUGUUUAACAUUCACCGUAUUUUUGACUACACCUUGUAUAUCCAAAACCUUGUCUCAAAUUUGCUCUAGGGGGGUCCAAAUUAAGAUUACAUUUAAACAUUGCCAAUUUCUUAUCUUUAUAGUAUUUUUUCUUCCUUCCUUCCUUCCUUUUUUUAUAUCAAGUUUGGUGGCUAAAAUCUUAGCAACCAGGCAUGGGUUUAAAUCCUGGCUUCCCCUGUAAUUAGCUGUGUAACUUGGGGCAAGGAUUUAAUCAUUCUGAGUUUCUUUCUUUAUCUUUAAAAUGGAGAUAACAGACCUACUUUAAAUUGUUGUAUCUUGUGUCCAUUAAAUUAGAUAAUAUGCUCAACACAGUGCCUAAAAAUUAUAGUAAAUACUUUAAAAUGUUAGCUCUGGUUGCUUGGUUCACUAGCUUCCUAUUUUGUUCUGAAAGAUUUUUGCUGUCUAAAUUCAUCUAAAAUAAUUAAUUAGGUUUCAGAUAGGCUCAUAGGGAAGGUAAGUGUCUGCUCACUGAGAACAAUAACACAAGAAAGACCAGGAAGAAGCCUCCUUUCCUACACUUCUGCCAUUCACUGAAUCCAUGGGGAGAAAGAAGAUAGAAGGCGUCACCCUUUUCCCUAUCCCUAGGCACAGUGUAAGCUGCUCUACUUCUGUGAACCAUUCCCCAGUUUCUCUAGCUAGCAGGUUUUCCUUGCUCUCAGUGACAAUCCAUACAUUCACUGUCUGCCCUGCUCAUUUUAACACUUCCCCAAUGCAAGAUCUUUGUGAUGGUUAAUUUCAUGUGUAAACUUAGCUAGGCUACAGUAACCAGAUAUUUGGUCAAAUACUAUUCUAGAUGUCUCUGUGAAGGUAUUUUGGGGGAUAAUUAGCAUUUAAGUCAGCAGACUUUGAGCAGAGCAGACUACCCUCCUCCAGCCUCAAUUGCAAAAAGACUGACCUCCCUCUGAGUGAGAAGGAAUUCUGCCAACAGACCGCCUGUGCACUCAAACUACAUCUCGUCUUGAGGCUCCAGCCCACCAGCCUUGGAGAGUUUGGACUUAACAAGCUCCACAAUUGCACAAGCCUAAAAUACCAGCCUCUCUCUCUCUCUCUCCCUCUCUCCCUCUCUCUCUCUCUCCACACACAAAUAUUUAAUGGUUCUGUUUCUUUGAAGAACCGUGACUAAUAAAAUCUUCAUACAUUUUUUUCACAUGUUCAAAAUGUACUGUUCUUUAGGAAAUUGAAGGAUAGAAAUAAUCUUUAGGUGGCAAAGAAGAUAUUUAUUAAUGUUUGACAUUUUAAAAUCAAUUGUGAUUUUAUAAAAUACAAAUAUUUAAGACAAUAAUACUACAUAGAAACCUAGAAAUUAUUUUUUUCUUCAAACCUUUUGAUGGAAAUAGACAUUUCAGGGUCACAAAAGCUAAUUAUGUCAGUAGUAAAAACAAAACUCAUUGUUUAUAACUAAAAAACAUGCAGCCUAUAGAUGUUUAUCAACAAUAAAUAAAAUGAAUUAAAAAUUAAAAUUUUGGGUGUCUGGAAUGAUCAUGAAAAGGAACACAAGGGGUUAUCAAAAGAUAUAGUGAAGUUUUAAGUUUAAAAAAACUUAUUGUAGUAAAAGAUACUUUGCCAAGAACUGUGGGAUAGGUGUGUUCUACGCAAGGGGGAAUGCUUAUGAGUAUUUUGCGAGUGGCAAUAUGUCUUUUUCCAUAAUAAAAUUUUUAGUUUAAACAUUCAUCAUAUUUUGUGAUCAUACAAUCUCAACACUGGAAAGGCUCUUUUGGAUGCUCUGUACUCAUCACUGGAAAUGAGCUGGAAACCUGGGCCUAAAGGAUCACAUAGUAUGGAAUGAAUAAACUGUAAUUAGAACUGACGUGUCCUUGUUCCUUAAACCUCAGCAUAGCACUUCCAGGUGAAGCAGGAAUAACUCCAGGAGCUACCAAAGGCAGAGUGAAGCCCCUACUCUUGCCACGAUUGUCCAUAGCAGAGAGCCAGCAUGGUUCUUUCAAGUGCAGCCACCACCACCACUGUAGAUACUGUUACCAUGUGUACCAGGCAUGUGGUUCUCUAAGUGUCACAAAAUGAAGUCAAGAACCAAAGGAGAAGGUUAGGAGUGUUUUUAUUAGAAAUAGCAAGAGUAGGGCCUGGGAUUUAGCUCAGUGGUGCUGCUGCCUGCCUCGCAAUCACAAGGUCUGGAGUUUGAUCCCUGGUACAAAAAAAGAAAAGAAAAGAAAAGAAAACAAAUAAAAAGAGGAAAAACAGCUCCUAGACUUCCAGGAAAGUCCCGAGUGGGUUGCCAUGUGGCCCCUAGAUCUAGAGUCACUCACAGAUAAGCAGGGCACCAGAAUCACUUAAUUGUUUAAUGGACAUCUGCCACAGGUGGCUCAGAGAAAUUAAAGAAAUGACCAAUUGGAGUCGCGCUGUAAACAC